RNAcentral lists this ribosomal RNA (378 nucleotides) under uncultured bacterium. RNAcentral's name for it is "bacterial SSU rRNA". It matches the Rfam family "Bacterial small subunit ribosomal RNA", at positions 998 to 1390 of the family's 1533-position model. The record is from RNAcentral.
GAAGGGAAACCGGAACGAGCCUUCGGGCAGCGUAGACAGGUGCUGCAUGGCUGUCGUCAGCUCGUGUCGUGAGAUGUUGGUUAAGUCCCGCAACGAGCGCAACCCGUGUUGCUAGUUACAAGUGUCUAGCGAGACUGCCGGUAACAAGCCGGAGGAAGGUGCGGAUGAUGUCAAGUCAGCAUGGCCUAUAUGUCCAGGGCUACACACACGCUACAAUGGCUGGUACAAAGAGAAGCGAAAGGGAGACCUGAAGCGAAUCUCAUCAAAGCCAGUCAUAGUUCGGAUUGCAGGCUGCAACUCGCCUGCAUGAAGUCGGAGUUGCUAGUAACCGCAGGUCAGCAAUACUGCGGUGAAUACGUUCCCGGGCCUUGUACACAC